AGCCUGACGCAGCGACGCCGCGUGGGUGAUGAAGGCCUUCGGGUUGUAAAGCCCUUUUCUGGGGGAAGAGGAAGGACGGUACCCCAGGAAUAAUUCCCGGCUAACUACGUGCCAGCAGCCGCGGUAAAACGUACGGGGCAAGCGUUAUCCGGAUUCAUUGGGCGUAAAGCGCGUGCAGGUGGUGCUUUAAGUUGGGCGUGAAAUCUCCCGGCUUAACUGGGAGGGGUCGUUCCAUACUGAAACACUUGAGGGCCGGAGAAGGAGGUGGAAUUCCCGGUGUAGAGAUGAAAUGCGAAUAUCUGGGGAGGAACACCAAUGGCGAAAGCGGCCUCCUGGCCUGCUCCUGACACUAAAAUUCGAAAGCUAGGGGAGCCAACGGGAUUAGAUACCCCGGUAAUCCUACCUGUUAACAAUGGAUGCUAGGUGUGGGUGGAAUUGACCCCAUCCGUGCCGUAGCUAACUCGAUACCUAUCCCGCCUGGGGACUACGGCCGCAAGGUUAAAACUCAAAGGAAUUGACGG
RNAcentral lists this ribosomal RNA (521 nucleotides) under uncultured Chloroflexus sp. Its description in RNAcentral is "bacterial SSU rRNA". It matches the Rfam family "Bacterial small subunit ribosomal RNA", at positions 380 to 916 of the family's 1533-position model. Lineage: Bacteria; Bacillati; Chloroflexota; Chloroflexia; Chloroflexales; Chloroflexaceae. The record is from RNAcentral.